AAUGUAUGUAUGCAAGGUUUUAAAGGACUCUUGUAUCUUGCCUCUUUCCAUUUUUAAAUAGGCGGCAAGCUGUCAGUUAUUGCAACUGACUCUGAGGGGUACUCAGCAAGGCUACUAAAAUUGGCGUCCAACAAUGGCAAAAAUGUCAUUUUUGUUGUCCCACUACAAGAGCAGCUGUCGAAGGAACCACUACCCUAUGAUGCACCAGAGUUCGCAAAGAUGCCACAGGCAACGUGCAUUUCAUGUGAAAAGCAAAUGCCUUUGCAGAUGUUGCCUUUGCACGUUGAGGGAUGUAAUGGCACAUUGAAUGAGAGUGAAUCAGAGACAUGCUGUAGGGAUGAAGAUUGCUUGGUUCUUGAGCAGCCAAACGGUGUGAUGGGAGAAUCCUCCGAGGUUUGUCCAAUCUGUCUCCAGUCAUUUCCAAUCGAUGUCCUCCCAUCCCAUGCAAGUGCUUGUGGUGACAGGUAAGAAGUUUAUGACUAAUGGAUUCAAGUUAAAAGAUUCUGAAUCUGAGGACCCAUGAC
This is a long non-coding RNA of Epinephelus fuscoguttatus (brown-marbled grouper), 524 nucleotides long. RefSeq lists it as uncharacterized. Lineage: Eukaryota; Metazoa; Chordata; Actinopteri; Perciformes; Serranidae. The transcript has 3 exons. The record is from RefSeq and is a predicted model, not a curated record.